UUUAUAAGUGACUCAGUCUCAUGUAUUUCUGUAUAGCAGUGCAAAUGGACAAACACAGUUUCCAUCCUGCCUGUCCUGCCUCUCUCCCAACCUCCACCUCCCUCUCCUCAGCCCCCCGACCAGAUGUCCUUCCUGGGCCACACUACCCUGUAUCCUGUCCCCAGUGAGAAGCUCACCUUCCAGAGGCCAGCCUGGCGUGGACUGGGUGUGGGGCACGUGAACCAAAGCCCAGAGCUAGCCCCGAGGAGUGAUCCUUGCGUGGGACUAGAAAGAGGGGACCCGCUGUGUCCUCAGUGAGAAGGAGGGCAGGGAUGCAGGGGUGCAGCCCUCAGAUAACAAGUGACAACUGGCCGGGCACAAGGAGGGGUGUUUAAGGUUGAGGUGAGACUGGAUUGGCCUCAGGGAACUACUGCCACAGGAGGAAAAUGUGAGCCAGAAAGAGGCCCCAGGGCAAAUGGCACCAAGCUCAGCUAUCUGGGGAAGAGUUUAAAUCUGUUCAUGAGCCCCUCGCACCCGUGCUUCUCUACCUGUGACCUCAUCCCAUCGUCACAAGAGCCCUGUGUGGUACAUGGAAUUUCGUAGGAAAGGAAACUGCUGUUCAGUGAAGGGAGGAACCUGCCCAGACAGGCCUGGGAACCUGCCAGCAAGGCAGUCCACCACCACGUCCUUUUGCCUCUGGCCGCGGCACACUGGAGGGAAGCCGUGGGGCCCUGCAGGGAACCCUGCCUUGUCCAGACUCUGCAAGGUGCCUCUGCAGGGCUUCUGGCGUCCCUUCCACAGGAGCUAUUUGCAACCCUGGGAAUUGUAGAGAACUUCUGUCCUGCCUGGAGAGGCUUGACUGCCCCUGUGGGCCCUGCUGAGAGGCUGGCUCUGCUUCCAUCUGUACUUCAUGCUCCUCACUCCGUGUGAACUCCUGCCACUGGGACUGCCUCUGAGAACCAGUCACAGCACCUGCCAGCUUCCCUCAUGAGACCCUAAAGGAGAACUCUUACCAGCCCCCACCCCACCCCACCGCAGCACAGACUACGCUGGGAUGCCAAGGACUGACAUUCAUACCUGUGUUCUCCUCUCCUUGUGAAGUCCAGAGAACUGAGUGCUACUCUUUUCCUAGUGGCAUUGUCACCGCUGUGAUGAGACUGGACCGCGAGGAGGCAGCAGGAGGAGCGUGGCCACCUCUGCAAUUGACACCAAAGCCCAACCUUUUAUGUGAGAGCGUGGCAGGCUUCCUGAGUGGGAGGCAUUCUGAGCAUAUCACUUAAGGACUGCACUAGAGGAAAACAUGGAGUGAACUCGCUGACAACGAUUUUUGAAAUCCAGGGUAAUUAGUUCCAUCAGAACAAUCCCAAUUACAUUCCUAAUUCUCUCUGCCUUGCUGAAAGCACCGAAAGUGAACCAUGUUGGUGUCAUUAUAUUCCUGCUCAGAAGAGUCUUUAUCACCAGCGCUGGGAAUGGAGGAGGGGUUGAGGAAGGGGCCAGUGCCCAGGUUGUGGGAAGCCCCCACAAGGGGACCAAGCCAAUGAUACCAGCGUGGCACAAGGGCCUGAAAGUCAAAGAGUGGCCAGUGCGGGGUGAGGAAGGGGACCAAGUUUCUGGUCGUCUCCCGAGGAAUUCAAGUAACACUCAUGUGAGGACAUUUAUAACGUCAGCUCCAGAGACAUCUUGGUAGCCAAAUGAGGAAAGAAAAUAACUUUCAUCUGAGGAAUUUGAGACCUUUCAAAUUAUUACAGCCAGAGAGACAUUAAAAUGGGACAAUAAGCCA
This 1759-nucleotide long non-coding RNA is filed under the name Homo sapiens (human). Its description in RNAcentral is "HSALNT0340718". Lineage: Eukaryota; Metazoa; Chordata; Mammalia; Primates; Hominidae. The record is from RNAcentral.